This 255-nucleotide ribosomal RNA is filed under the name uncultured bacterium. Its description in RNAcentral is "partial 16S ribosomal RNA". It matches the Rfam family "Bacterial small subunit ribosomal RNA", at positions 524 to 776 of the family's 1533-position model. The record is from RNAcentral.
UACAGAGGCCCCAAGCAUUACCCGGAAUCACUGGGCGUAAAGGGUGUGUAGGCGGUCGUAUUAGUCUUUCGUGAAAGCUCUCGGACUCAAUCCGGGAAACGCGGGAGAAACGGUACGACUACGAGGAUGUGAGAGGUAAAGGGAACUCAUGGUGUAGGGGUGAAAUCCGUUGAUAUCAUGGGGAACACCAAAUGCGAAGGCACUUUACUGGCACAUUCCUGACGCUGAAACACGAAAGCGUGGGAAUCGAACGGG